CCUACGGGAGGCACCAGUGGGGAAUAUUGCACAAUGGGCGCAAGCCUGAUGCAGCCAUGCCGCGUGUAUGAAGAAGGCCUUAGGGUUGUAUAGUACUUUCAGUUGGGAGGAAGGCGUUGAUGCUAAUAUCAUCAGCGAUUGACGUUACCAACAGAAGAAGCACCGGCUAACUCCGUGCCAGCAGCCGCGGUAAUACGGAGGGUGCAAGCGUUAAUCGGAAUUACUGGGCGUAAAGCGCACGCAGGCGGUUGAUUAAGUUAGAUGCGAAAUCCCCGGGCUUAACCUGGGAAUGGCAUCUAAGACUGGUCAGCUAGAGUCUUGUAGAGGGGGGUAGAAUUCCAUGUGUAGCGGUGAAAUGCGUAGAGACGUGGAGGAACACCAGUGGCGAAGGCGGCUCUCUGGUCUGUAACUGACGCUGAGGCUCGAAAGCGUGGGGAGCAAACAGGAUUAGAUACCCUUGUAGUC
This 465-nucleotide ribosomal RNA is filed under the name uncultured bacterium. RNAcentral's name for it is "bacterial SSU rRNA". It matches the Rfam family "Bacterial small subunit ribosomal RNA", at positions 338 to 795 of the family's 1533-position model. The record is from RNAcentral.